GUAGAAUGCAAAAGUUCCUGUCUUCUCAAAAAAACCUGUGAGUUCUAGAAAAAGUGAACCCAGAAGAUUUGAUUUGGGAGGGGUAGUGAUGGAAACAAAAUCUCUGAAGACAGAUCUAUGGGGGGGAAAAAAUGGUUUGGGGCUUCUGCCUUGCACUGCACAAUAGUUCCCGACAGAUGGGCCUCAGAUAAUUCCUCCAGUGGUUGAGAUUCCCUCUCCCAUGCCCUCUUCCUUCUUAGGAAAGGGAAAGCCUGGAGGAAGCAGAUAGGCGUCCUGGGUUUUCUGGUCCUAGGCUUGGGUGGGAGUGUGCCAAGACCAGGGUGAGUUUUCUGGGCCCCGUGGAGUGUAGGAGAGGACAGAGAGACUGGGUACUUCAUAAAGGCCAGGCUUCUGUAUUCUUGGGAUCCAGAUUCCCCUGAAACUAGUUAUUUACCAGUUAGCCAGGCCUGGUUUUCUGGAAAUAAUCUUAAAUUCCAGAAAAGGGGGGAAAGGGUUUAUCUUUUCUGACUGGUACUUCAGGAUUUUAUAACAUUCUCUCUCAAACCCUUCCUUCAACUUCUCCCCCUUACUGUGUGUCUCUGAAUCUCAUUUUCCUGCUCUUUCUCUGCCUCUCUCUGAAUAUACAGGUCGUAUGUGACAUCUUUCCAUAUUUCUUUAGCCAUCCUAAAACGGAAAUCCAGACACCCUUUUACAGGCCAGGACCAGAAGCUCCAUUUCCGCUUCAGGUCUGAACCUUUAGCGUCUCCAAUUCUCAUGUCUCCUUCGGAGUCCGUGUCUCGCUCCCUUUCCUUUCCACCCCUCUUCGAAUCCGGAUCUUUAUAGGCUAAGGGCGCUAGCUAGGGUCUCUGGGGAAGAGGCGUCCUAGGCACUUCCCGAGGUCCAGGAGUAGCUUAUUACUGCGCAUCCAGAAUGGGAGGGGCACCUGGAGUGAACUGGGAUGUUAGGACUGGGACCCCAAAGCAAGGAGCUUCCAGAAAUAUCCCUUAACUCCCAUUUUCUAGCCCCUUCUGGCUCAGGCGCAUUCCCGGGUUUUUCCUUUCAGGCUCAGAGCGGCCUCCAGGCCCCACCCUCAACUCCCCUUCCCCCUACGAGAUGGACACUUUAUAGGGAGAGCUUUUUAUUCUCUCGUUAAACCUGCCAAAGCACAGGAGACAGCCAGGGAGAGAGAGGAGGCGACCGAGGUGGGGCUGGCUCCGUCUCUCCUCUCCCGCCUCCCCACCCCCGACGUAGCUGGGUUGUUCCAAACUGGAAAGCGGCGGGAAGACACCCUGUCUCUUUUCUCUCGUUUUCAAAUGCAAUUAAAAAAAAAAAGCCGAGAGAGAAAGAGAGGAGGGAGGAGAGGGAGAAGGAGGAAGGCGGGGAGAGAAGAAAGGGAGGAGGGAGUGAGCAAGGGAGCGAGGGAGGGUGAGGAGGGAAAAGAGAGAAAGCGGGGGUAAAG
Molecule: long non-coding RNA, 1438 nt
Organism: Bos taurus (domestic cattle)
Lineage: Eukaryota; Metazoa; Chordata; Mammalia; Artiodactyla; Bovidae
Source: Ensembl